Molecule: long non-coding RNA, 1066 nt
Filed under: Anser cygnoides (Swan goose)
Lineage: Eukaryota; Metazoa; Chordata; Aves; Anseriformes; Anatidae
Description: lncRNA (ENSACDG00005007787.1)
Source: RNAcentral
UGGGUUGGGUGGGUGGGUCACGGAUGGGUUGGUUGGUGGUUGGUCGGAGCGUGGGUGGGCUGCAGUUGGCCAGGCGCUGGCCGCUGCCCGCUGGCGUUUGUGCCUCGCGCCUUCACCCCCCAGCCCCACAGAACGACACGACCGGAGAGAAAAACAAAAAACAGCUUUUUAUUAAUAAUUACAAAAAAAACGUUGGGGAGACCCCAGGGUGGAGGAACCCCCGGGGGGGGGGGCGUCGGGGGCCUCGCACGGGAGCAGCGUCACAGAGGCGGGCAGCGCAGGCACCGCUCCCCGUCCCCGCUGGCCUCUGAUGUCCCCAACCCCGUGGUCAUCAUCCCGCCACGUCCCCAGCCCCAGGGCCACCACCCCCCCCUCUGCACAAGUCUUUGUGGCCACCGACUCUCCGUGUCCCCGACCCUGGGGUCGCCACCUCUCUCUGCACAAGCCCCCGGACCAACAUUUUUUGAUGCUCUUCAACUUUACGGCCACCAACUCGCCGUGUCCCCAGCCCCACGGCCACCAUCCCUCCGCACACAAGCCCCGUGGCCACCAUCUUUUGACGUUACCCAGCCCCACGACCACCAUCUUUUGACGGUGGCCACCAUCCUUCCGUAUCCCCAACCCCACGGCCACCAUUCUUCCACGUUCCCCAGCCACGUGGCCAGCACCUUUCGGUGUUCUCCAACCCCCAUGGCCACCGUCCUUCCAUGUCCCCAACCCUGUGGCCACCAUUUUGAUAUGCUCCAACCCCAUUCCCCAACCCCGUGGCCACCAUCCUUCCACGUCCCCAACCCCACGGCCGCCAUUUUCGAUAUUCUCCAACCCCAUUCCCCAACCCCGUGGCCACCAUCCUUCCACGUCCCCGACCCCGUGGCCACCAUCCCUCCACGCACAAGCCCCAUGGCCGCCAUCUUUUGGUGUUCUCCAACCCCACGGCCACCAUUCUUCCACGUCCCCAACCCAUGGCCACCAUCCUUUUGUGUCCCCAACCCCGUGGCCACCAUCCUUCCACGCCCCCACCCCCACAACCACCAUCUUUUGACGCGCCCCCUUCCCCAGCCCCUGC